AAUAAUAAAUAAAUCUUUCAUGAAAGGUCUGGGGGCCUUUUGACCUACAAUAUGACUACAGGCUCUAUCAUGCAUGCAGAUAUGCAUCAAACGAUUUCUGAGUUUCUGCUGAAUGCAAGAGAAUAUGCACCCUUUUUUCCUCAAAAAGAGUGGGAAUUCAUUUACCAUGGAGCCAUAUUGUAACGCUAAUACUGCAUAUUGUGACCUGGAUAUCAUGGUGCUUAGUACAUGCUGGAGGACUUCAACACUUAGCAUUUACUUGACUCUAUGUUAAGCUCUGGUUCCCACCCUUUUGAUUUUCUGCAGAAGACCAAGAAGAAAGCUCAGAUGGGGCGGGGACAGAGGAAGAGCUGCUAACAGAGUAGAAGAGGCAUUUACUUGAACCACAUCUAACAAACCAGAAAAAUAAAGGCAGUGUUUUCCUGCCUGAAGCUCCUUACUUUUAUCUGCCCGAAGUUUAUUCGAGAACAUAGAUGUUUAACUCAUUGUUCAGACUGCUCAGCUCUUCAGUUUGUAAAUGCCACCAUACCUGGACAUUCAAAACAGCCAAUGAACGGGCCUGAAGGGGAUGCAGUUUCAUCUUCCUUGGUCACUGCCCAGCUUCACGCAUGGAGAAAAGUGCUUAGAGCAUUGUCGUUGGCAUCAUUAGGACUUCUUCUUUCUCUCUGCUGCUGAAAUGGUCUGUAAAGAGAAGUCUUGCUGGCCAAAGUGAUAUGGGCUGCAAUGGGUCUCAGUUGUGGCAGGCGGGAUCUUUAAUCUGUGUUGUGGCAUGUGGGAAUCUUUAGUUGCAGCAUGUAGGAUUUUUUUUUUUUUUUUAGUUGUGGCAUGCAGACUCCUGAUUGUGGCAUGUGGAAUCUCGAUCCCUGACCAGAGAUCAAACCUGGGCCCCCUGGAUUGGCAGCAUGGAAUCUUGGUCACUGGGCCACCAGGGGAGUCCCCUACUUUACUUUUCUGAAUCUGCCCUGGGACAGUGGCAGUGCAGACAAGCAGUAAGACCUGAGAUCCUUGGUUUGUAUACAUUUUGGGCUUGUGUGAGAAUACUCCCUCUCAAUAUGCUUAUUCUCUGAGGAAGCUUGUAUGAGCCAAAUAGGAAAGGGUUAGGAAGUUCCUUCUUUCCUCCCCACCCACCCCAUCAUGGCUGAUGGUUUAAUACCCAGCUAAAGGUUCCAGUUUGCUAAGGGCCCCAGGGAAGAUGAGAGUGAAAGUCAUUCCUAUGAGAUGUCAAGAGUCGCUGAAUCUGGCCUCACAUCAGUGUUCCUCAGAGUUAAAUGUGCCAGGAAUCAUAUUCACAGUUAGCAUUGAUGGAAAGCAUCCCUUGGGCAUGCUCUGGAAAAAGAGGUGAAAUAUAUAUUUUUAGUAUGGGUUUCCCAGAUGGCUCAGCGAGUAAAGAAUCCACCUGCCAAUGCAGAGGAGACACAGGAGACACGAGUUCAAUUCCUGGGUCAGGAAGAUCCCCUGGAGGAGGGAAUGCCAACCCACUCCAGUGUUCUUGCCUGAAAAAUCCCAUAGACAGAGGAGCCUAGUGGGCUUCAGUCCAAAGGAUAGCAAAGAGUUGAAUGCAGCUGAGCAUAGCACAGUCAUAUAUUUUUAGUAGAGAAGGGAGGGCCUCACCAGCCACAGUUGGCACAUGAACAGAUCUGCUAGCAGCUGGAGCUGUGAUCUGAAUGUUACUCACCGAGACGAAAGGAAGUAAAAUUCCUAGCUGCAGACACAGCCGUGCCCUCCCCAGGGGCUGCCUGUUUAAGAGCCAUUUUUGGCCUCUUCUUUCCUGACAUUCAAGGCUGAGCAUCCUUCCUCUGUGGAAAAUAGAGCUUCUGUUCAAGGACCAAACUUCAUCAUGACGAACGACUCUGGUUUUAAACCAUUUUCGAGAGAAGGUAUAUCUACAUGUGAAACAGACACAGAGCUGGAAGAUGGGAAGCGGAUCAGAAAUGCCCUGGGUUGGUUGUAGGUACUGCAUUUUCUAAGACUGGCUGUUAUCAGCAUGAAGGGGACCCCAGAUGUUCAAGGUGGGCUCAAGAGCUUGUAACAAUUCCUCUUCUCAUCUCAUGGUUCUGAUGGCCCCCAAAGCCUUGCUGUCUUGCAGCCCAACCAGAGGUCAAGGAAUAAUGCAAGAAACCCCAUUUCACUCAGAUUAUCCUGGAAUCACUUUCUCUUGGAGCUGGAAGAGGACCUAGGCCACCUCCCACCCCUGAAUCACUGAGAACCCUGGAGUCCCAGAGCAAAGGGUGGAUUCCAAGUGGAACAAAAAGGCCCCCUUGAGCAGAUGCAGCCAGAACCAUCACAGCUUUCCAGGGGCGUGAGGAGAUGCAGGGCAUGUAAUCUGUAAGUGUUUUUGUUUGUUUUAACCUGGAAUCCUCCAUGCUUUCUUGUUGGAGAGCCUGUCCUGGAAGAACAGCUUGCUAAGUGGCUGGUCCAUGUUGAAGGGGCAUUGUGAGCAUUUUGGAGGAACUGCAGUAGCCAACCGUGGGUGACCAGUGAAAAUGAAGGACUCCUCCCAGCCUGGAAACUCGAUGACUGGGUUCACCAAGGUCCAACCAACAGAGGCAAUGGCCACAGUGAAGUGACAGAGGUCCUGCCGCUGAGGAUGAAAAGCAGCAUUGCCAGUGUUUUACAAGCAGGGCCAAACUUCCAGGCUGCCUCACUCAACAUAUGAGCAUCUUUUUGUUUCCCUGUUCACCAGUCUCCACACUGCUGUGAAGGUGGCCAGGUGGGACAUGUCCUAUCAGCAAGCAGAGAGAAGAAGCAUAGGGUCCAGGGAACAUGGAACUGAGAGGACAAUCUUCUGUUUAAUGAAGGGGGAAAAAAAAGAACUGAGUGAUUCACGGAAAGCAAUCUGUUACCUGGAGGAAUUUAUAAUCAUUUAAUGAUCUUUAAUCAGAAUUUUAAAGAAUCUCCUAAGAAUGGUGGUUCAGGUAAGAAGAAUAAGUGAGUUGCAGUCUCCAGCUUUUCUCUUUCUCCUUGAAAUUUAAUGGUACAAAUAAAUCUACUUAAUUGACUUAACCGUUUCUAAUUUAUCUCUAAGAUUCCUUACAUGAUGUUGUCUGGACAUCUAUUCUACUCUCUGUCAGCAGGUGUCAAUCCUUUUUUUACCUUCCCUUUCUUCCUUUCUCCCAGAAAACCUCUUCAGUCUCAUACAGAUAUCUUGUCCCUGUAGCUCUCCCCUUAUUCUCUUUAUUUAUUUUUAAAAUAUUUUUAUUCGUUUAUUUAAUUUGGCUGCACCAGGUCUUCAUUGCAGCAUGGGGGGUCUAGUUCCCUGACCAGGGAUUGAACCCAGACCCCCUGCAUUGGGAGCACAGACUCUUAGACGCUCAACCACCAGAGAAGUCCCUCCUUGCUCUCUUUAGGUCCACCCUCCCUCUGACUUUGCUGCCUCCCUCUUGAGCCCAGACCCUAAGACAGAAGCAUCUCCCCCAGACCCUAGUCUCCCUGGUCCAUCUUGUCCUUUGCCGUUUUCCAGCAAAUCAAGAGAAAUCAACCAUCUGUGUUUUCUACUUUUAAGCAGGAGAGCCAGAUACUGCUGGAGAAAAUGAUACAUUCUUGUAUAUUGAUUCCACUGGUUUCUAAUGUCAGUUGUUUCCUUAACACUGUCCAGAAAUGUUAUCCCUUCCCAAAGAGCUUUUACUUCUUUAUGGAGAAGUUAAACAUUACCAUUCACCAUGCCAGCUGCAGUCCGGCUCUGACCCUGAAAUCGCAUGGACACAGCUCUUGCCAAGCUUGACAGGACCUUCUCUUUGCUGAGUUGUACUAAAUACCACAAGGAAGGAUGUUGGGUUGGAUAACUGGGGCUCUUAUCUUGACUUUGCUGUUUUUCAGCUGUGUCAUUUUGGCAAAUUUCUUUACUCCCUGAAAUCUCCAUUUUUUCACUCAUAAAAUAGAUAUAAAUAGAGAAUUGUAAGAAUUAAGUGAAUAACAGAAAUAUAAUUUUAAAAUUGCAGUCUAAUAAUAUUUAUCUUUUACUUGGAGUAUUUGGUUUGCAUGCGUGCUCAGUAGCUCAGUCAUGUCCCAUUCUUUGUGACCCCAUGGACUGUAGCCCACUAGGCUCCUCCAUCCAUGGGGUUUCCAAGGCAAGAAUACUGGAGUGGAUUGCCAUUUCCUCCUCCAGGAGAUCUCACAGACCCAGGGAUCAAGUUCACGUCUCCCGAGUCUCCCUCACUGCCAGGCAGAUUCUUUACAACUGAGCCACCUGGAAAGCCCUGGAGUAGUUGCUUUACUAAAUAUUAAUUUAAUCACUAGUAAAUGAGUUUAAAAUUUCCACCUAAUUUUUUUCUAUUUGUCCCCUGUUUCCUUUUUUUUGACCUGUUCUUGCCCUCUUUUGGAUUAAACAUUUUUUAUUAUUACAUUUGAUACCUAUCAUCAUGAUUAAUAUUAUUUUUGUUUGGGUCAGGAUAUUAUAAACUGUGAAAUUGAAGAUUUGCUUCCAGGAAAUCGACAAGGAUGACAUUUUGGAUCUGGGCAGCAUGCUAUUAUUCUUUUAUUUACUGAGCACCUACUUCAUACCACAUGCUGUUCAAGACUCUGAGAAUCAAACCAGGAAUAAAAACAGAUACAUGCUCUGCUCUCAUGCAGUUUACCAUCUAAAAGAAAAAGAGUAUGAACUCUAAGAUUAGACAGUCCUGAGUUCAGAAACUAGCAUUUUUACUAACUAGUUGUGUAACCUUAGACAACUGGCUACACAUGGGGUAUUCUAGUGUAAACCAUGGAAUGACACUCCUGGAGGGUAAUUUUGAAAUACAGAGAUAAUGUAUAGAAAAUUCUUGCACAGCUGGGGCAUGUAGAUGGUAAUAAAUGUGCUAUAAUUAAUUAUCA
Long non-coding RNA from Bubalus bubalis (water buffalo), 4809 nucleotides. RefSeq lists it as uncharacterized. NCBI's taxonomy places the organism in Eukaryota, Metazoa, Chordata, Mammalia, Artiodactyla, Bovidae. The record is from RefSeq and is a predicted model, not a curated record. The transcript has 8 exons.